Molecule: ribosomal RNA, 253 nt
Filed under: uncultured bacterium
Lineage: Bacteria
Description: partial 16S ribosomal RNA
Rfam family: Bacterial small subunit ribosomal RNA
Source: RNAcentral
UACGUAGGGUGCAAGCGUUAAUCGGAAUUACUGGGCGUAAAGCGUGCGCAGGCGGUUUUGUAAGUCUGACGUGAAAUCCCCGGGCUCAACCUGGGAAUUGCGUUGGAGACUGCAAGGCUGGAGUCUGGCAGAGGGGGGUAGAAUUCCACGUGUAGCAGUGAAAUGCGUAGAGAUGCGGAGGAACACCGAUGGCGAAGGCAGCCCCCUGGGCUAGCACUGACGCUCAGGCACGAAAGCGUGGGGAGCAAACAGG